Molecule: long non-coding RNA, 703 nt
Filed under: Calidris pugnax (ruff)
Lineage: Eukaryota; Metazoa; Chordata; Aves; Charadriiformes; Scolopacidae
Description: lncRNA (ENSCPUG00000004585.1)
Source: RNAcentral
AGUGGGAUCACUUUUUAAGAAUCCAACAGCAAAGGUGGGAGAUGGGCAGUUAGAGACCUCGAUGGCCAAAGUCAGUGAAUUUGCGUAUCCAAGGAUUUCUAGAUUUGCUUUAUUUCCUGCUAAGGCUGAAAGAAAAGGGAGACCCAUAUCCAAACUGAGAGCUGCAUAAUUUGGGCUCCUAGAUUAAAUUUAUUUUUAGGUAGUUGAGUUUCUCUACAAAGAGAGUGGAUAGUGAAGGGGAGGAGGCAAAAUGAGCACAUGAAGAGCCUUGAGGCUUACACUGUAUAUGGUCGAUCAGACUAAAUGGAGACACUGAAAGCAGCAAGCCACUUUUUGUCCUCUUCAAAACUACAGAGCAACACAUUCGAAUCUACAGAGAAGAACCUUCCACGAUCCUCUUCUGCUUGAGAAGGAUAUCCAACAUCCAAACUUCACCUACAAAUAGCAUGAUCAACAGAGGUUGGCACCAGGUGUUUCAGAAGAAACUGUAAAAAGGCUUCUAGAAAAAUGCUACCAAACCUUUGAUGAGCAGAUGCACGUAAGAGAAAUAAUUCUGGUUUUACCCAAAAUCUUUGUAACUCACGGAUAGUGCCUGUGAAGUACCUGAAGGCUGCUGUCAGGACAGAACCUUUCAUACAAGCAUUGAAGCUCCUUGGGAAAUGAAAUGUCCAGGUUGUAAAGUAUGAAGUGUAGUCUGCCGAAG